Long non-coding RNA from Helianthus annuus (common sunflower), 443 nucleotides. RefSeq lists it as uncharacterized. The transcript has 2 exons. The record is from RefSeq and is a predicted model, not a curated record. NCBI's taxonomy places the organism in Eukaryota, Viridiplantae, Streptophyta, Magnoliopsida, Asterales, Asteraceae.
ACUGUAAGAUGAUGAAGAUAAACAAGAAGUCUGGUUCAAAGGACAAGCAAGAGGCUGGUUCUAGCGGGUCCAAGGACCCGGGCAAGCAAGGAUGAUGACAUUGCUUGGUGGGUUGAUUCGGGUGCAACAAGUCAUGUAUGCAAGGAUCUUCGUUGGUUUAAAGACUUUCAACCAAUCGAAGACGGGUCUAUCAUAAAGAUGGGGAACGUUGCAACUGAACCAAUCAAGGGAAUAGGAACUGUGAAUCUUGUUUUUACUUCUGGAAAAUGUUUACUUUUGAACAAUGUUUUGUAUGUGCCCGGAAUUCGAAAGAAUCUGUUAAGUGGCAUUGUGUUGAAUAAUUGUGGGUACAAACAAGUAUUGGAAAGUGACAAGUAUAUCUUGUCAAGACAUGGUACCUUUGUUGGUUUCGGUUAUCUAUGUAAUGGUAUGUUUAUGUUGAA